UGGGGAGUCGUCUAGUGGUAGGACAGCGGACUCUGGAUCCGCCGGCGAUGGUUCGAAUCCUUCCUCCCCAG
RNAcentral lists this transfer RNA (71 nucleotides) under Actinomycetes bacterium. Its description in RNAcentral is "Actinobacteria bacterium tRNA-Gln". It matches the Rfam family "tRNA". From Rfam's summary of the family: Transfer RNA (tRNA) molecules are approximately 80 nucleotides in length. Their secondary structure includes four short double-helical elements and three loops (D, anti-codon, and T loops). Further hydrogen bonds mediate the characteristic L-shaped molecular structure. tRNAs have two regions of fundamental functional importance: the anti-codon, which is responsible for specific mRNA codon recognition, and the 3' end, to which the tRNAs corresponding amino acid is attached (by aminoacyl-tRNA synthetases). tRNAs cope with the degeneracy of the genetic code in two manners: having more than one tRNA (with a specific anti-codon) for a particular amino acid; and 'wobble' base-pairing, i.e. permitting non-standard base-pairing at the 3rd anti-codon position. Lineage: Bacteria; Bacillati; Actinomycetota; Actinomycetes. The record is from RNAcentral.